RNAcentral lists this ribosomal RNA (516 nucleotides) under uncultured bacterium. RNAcentral's name for it is "bacterial SSU rRNA". It matches the Rfam family "Bacterial small subunit ribosomal RNA", at positions 8 to 525 of the family's 1533-position model. The record is from RNAcentral.
AGAGUUUGAUCCUGGCUCAGGAUGAACGCUAGCGGGAGGCCUAACACAUGCAAGUCGAGCGGGAAUUUCUUUUGGGAGAUGAGAGCGGCGCACGGGUGAGUAACGCGUAUGCAACCUGCCCCGGACAGGGGGAUAGCCCGGAGAAAUCCGGAUUAAUACCCCGUAUUAUAUAAAUUUCGCAUGGGAAUUAUAUAAAAGCUCAGGCGGUUCGGGAUGGGCAUGCGUGACAUUAGCUGGUUGGUGAGGUAACGGCUCACCAAGGCUACGAUGUCUAGGGGUUCUGAGAGGAUGAUCCCCCACACUGGUACUGAGACACGGACCAGACUCCUACGGGAGGCAGCAGUGAGGAAUAUUGGUCAAUGGGCGCAAGCCUGAACCAGCCAUCCCGCGUGAAGGAAGACGGCCCUACGGGUUGUAAACUUCUUUUAUACAUGAAGAAUAGUACCUACGCGUAGGUACCUGCCGGUAGUGUAUGAAUAAGCAUCGGCUAACUCCGUGCCAGCAGCCGCGGUAAUA